RNAcentral lists this ribosomal RNA (449 nucleotides) under uncultured bacterium. RNAcentral's name for it is "partial 16S ribosomal RNA". It matches the Rfam family "Bacterial small subunit ribosomal RNA", at positions 29 to 523 of the family's 1533-position model. The record is from RNAcentral.
AAUGAACGCUGGCGGCAGGCCUAACACAUGCAAGUCGAACGGAUCCUUCGGGAUUAGUGGCGGACGGGUGAGUAACGCGUGGGAACAUACCCAAAGGUACGGAAUAGCCUCGGGAAACUGGGAGUAAUACCGUAUGUGCUCGAAAGAGGAAAGAUUUAUCGCCUUUGGAUUGGCCCGCGUUGGAUUAGGUAGUUGGUGGGGUAAUGGCCUACCAAGCCGACGAUCCAUAGCUGGUUUGAGAGGAUGAUCAGACACACUGGGACUGAGACACGGACCAGACUCCUACGGGAGGCAGCAGUGGGGAAUCUUAGACAAUGGGGGAAACCCUGAUCUAGCCAUGCCCCGUGAUCGAUGAAGGCCUUAGGGUUGUAAAGAUCUUUCAGGUGGGAAGAUAAUGACUGUACCACCAGAAGAAGCCCCGGCUAACUCCGUGCCAGCAGCCGCGGUAA